UGCGUUCAAGUAGUUUAAAAAUGAGCCCACA
This 31-nucleotide non-coding RNA is filed under the name Mus musculus (house mouse). Lineage: Eukaryota; Metazoa; Chordata; Mammalia; Rodentia; Muridae. The record is from RNAcentral.